CUUUGUUCCCAUGUUCUGCAUGGUAUGAAGUGUAACAAGGGUGAGGGGUUUAGUGGGGGAGCAUAAUAUGCUUCCGGCACAUACCUAAUCUCCUCCAUGCUCUCCUGUCAUAUCUGGACAGAAUGCGUAGAGAUUUUACGGCUUUAGGGACACGGAAGCAAUGGAAAGUUACAGAUUAUUGCCAUCGGGGCUUGCAUUGUAUGCCUGAAAUCUCCUGCUGGUUUCCUGCGAGGUGACCGGACAGGGAUGACAGCACAUAGACCUUUUGGGAGGUCUGAAAUUGCUCGGACCCAACUAGCUAGAUCUGGACAUUCUUGGAAUAUGACUGUGCGGUGGUAACAUGGGAUGGGAGGACUGUUUGUUUAGUACCUUCAGUCUUGUGACUUUACCAUGUUUACAGUGCAGCUCUGCAAUUUUGCACAUAAAAGAGAGGGUGAACUCCCUCAUCUCAAUACUCCCAACAUUGAGGGCUUUUACUGUCUUUACAAACUGUUUGUUUGUCGAUGGCUUCUCCCAUCUCAACAAGCCUGUUUUCUAAGUCCAGGGGUGAUGCAUGCUUGGACAGAUGCAUGUCCAAGUGUGAGCCAGCUGCCAGGUUUCAGUGACCUCUGUCUGGUGUUAACAGAGCUUUGACAUGGCCAUGGAAAUGGUCGUUCAUGGGUGGAUGAGUGACAGCAGUGGUUUUCAGCUCACAGCGGUGGUCAGAGCUGCCUGGAAUAGCACACCCAUGUGAUCAACAGUCUAUUUGUAGGUGUGUGUACAGAGCGGGCUGCACUUACACGGGUGUCUCAAGAGAAGAGUGCAGUGAGGGGUCUGCUCUCUCGCUCUGUCGCACGCUCGUUGUCUAUGCCGGUGAAGUUUCACAGGUACUUUCAUUAUUCUGUUAGGCCUGUCUCUGAGCUCGGACCUCCAACGCGUCCAAGAGAAGUACCAUGGUUUUGAAGAAGCUGGCAGUCCUGGGGAAGCAGCUCCUGCGAGUGAAGGUGGUGGACUGCAGCAAUGAAGACACGCGCCUCUCACGCUGCCUCAACACCUUCGACCUGGUGGCGCUGGGCGUGGGCAGCACUCUGGGAGCAGGGGUCUACGUGCUGGCAGGCGCUGUGGCACGGGACAACGCCGGUCCUGCCAUCGUCAUCUCUUUCCUCGUUGCUGCGGCAGCGUCCGUGCUGGCUGGCCUGUGCUAUGCAGAGUUUGGCGCCCGUGUACCCAAGACUGGCUCUGCAUAUUUGUACAGCUAUGUGACGGUGGGCGAACUCUGGGCCUUCAUCACAGGAUGGAACCUCAUCCUCUCCUACAUCAUUGGGACGUCCAGCGUGGCACGUGCCUGGAGUGCCACAUUUGACGAGCUCAUUGGGAAUCACAUUGAGCAGUUUUGUCGUACCUACCUGAGCAUGCACGUGCCAGGCGUCCUUGCAGAGUACCCUGAUAUGUUUGCUGUGCUCAUCAUCCUCACGCUGACAGGUUUGCUGGCCUUUGGGGUGAAGGAGUCUGCUAUGGUCAAUAAGGUGUUCACCUGCAUCAAUGUCCUGGUGCUGCUCUUCAUGGUGGUGUCGGGCUUGGUCAAGGGCACACUCAAGAACUGGAACCUGGACCCCAGCAACAUUCUCAAUACUACUAAUUCUUCGUUCAACUCAUCGCUGCAGCUGCCAUCGAAGGAGAGCCUUGGAGUAGGAGGUUUUAUGCCCUUUGGCUUCACUGGAGUGCUGUCAGGUGCUGCUACCUGCUUCUAUGCCUUUGUGGGCUUCGACUGCAUUGCCACCACAGGGGAGGAGGUGAAAAACCCCCAGCGGGCCAUCCCCAUUGGCAUAGUUGCCUCACUCCUCAUCUGCUUUGUGGCCUACUUUGGCGUGUCAGCCGCCCUCACCAUGAUGAUGCCCUACUACCUGCUGGACAAGAUGAGCCCAUUGCCUGUGGCCUUCAAGUAUGUGGGCUGGGAGGGGGCCACCUAUGCAGUGGCAGUGGGUUCACUUUGCGCCCUGUCCACCAGUCUCCUGGGCUCCAUGUUCCCCCUUCCACGCAUUAUCUUUGCCAUGGCGCGCGACGGUCUGCUCUUCUCGUUUCUGGCACGGGUGAGCGAGAGGAAGACUCCCAUCGUCUCUACCAUGGCCGCAGGGUUCAUGUCUGCGGUGAUGGCCUUUCUGUUUGACCUCAAGGACCUGGUGGAUCUCAUGUCUAUUGGCACACUAUUGGCAUACACUCUGGUGGCAGCCUGUGUCCUGGUCCUCCGGUACCAGCCGGAGCAGCCCAUCCAGCUGUACCAGAUGGCCAACACACAAGAUGAGAUGGAACUCAGCGAGUCCAUCGGCACCCUCAGCAUGGGCAUUCUUCCAGGCAUGGAAGAGCGCCUCAGCUUGAAGAACGUGUUCUUUCCUGAAAACCCAGAACCCUCAAAACUGUCUAGCUUUGUUGUCAAUGUCAGCACCAGCAUACUAGGAUUCCUCAUUGUUGUAUUUAGUGUACUAGCAGUUCAAGGAGGGCUUGCACUUUGGAAUGUGAUACUCCUGAGUGUUCUGGUUGUAACCUGCCUGGGCCUCACGCUGGUCAUCUGGAGACAGCCAGAGAGCAGGACGAAGCUGUCUUUUAAGGUCCCCCUGCUGCCUUUCAUCCCAGUGAUCAGCAUGUUUGCCAACGUGUACCUUAUGAUGCAGCUUGACAGGGGUACCUGGAUCCGCUUUGCUGUAUGGAUGGCUAUAGGCCUGGUGAUCUACUUCACCUACGGGAUUUGGCACAGUACAGAAGCUAUUAUGGCCCGUUCCAGUGUUGAGGUCAACCUCAAUGGCUACAAGCCCGCCAGUACUACGGAGAAUCCUAUAGCCCCUGAGAAAGCGGCUUUUCUUGGUGUGGGGAGCGAAGAUGACGGGGAUCUCUAAGGAUCCUGGGGCACUGCCAGCUCCCUGAUUUCCCCCCAUCUAACUUUCUUGUAUUUUGAAAGCAAAUUGUGAUGCUUGAAUGACAUGUUUCAGUCAAAAAAGAGAUUACGGGCAAAUCAAAGGGAACCCAGGCUAACUGAGUUCGGACCGGCCCAAAUCAAAAAAAACACAAUAUUUCAUUUAUUUAUUUUUUGUUUUGUUUUAUGUGGAGAGCAUUUUGCAGUUGCAAAUAAGCUGUCUGUUUUGUUGUUAAUUUUAGAAUGGCAAAUGGAUUACAGCACUCUAGUAUGCAUUAAUAUACAGGUGGUCCUUGACGUACGAUGGGGUUACGUUCCAUGAAACCCAUCAUAAGUCAAAAAUAUUGUAAGUCGAAAAUGCAUUUAAUACACCUGACCUACCGAACAUCAUAGCCUAGCAUACAUGCGAUGGCCAUUACAGGCUUGCCACCUUUAUGCUGGGCACCCUCCUCCUCCUCUUCCCACCAGUAGCAGGAGACACAGAUAGGCAUUUCUGUGACAUUAUGGAUGCACAAAACACAACGUAUAUACCAGGGGGUAUCUGUAUAGCAACCAUGUGACAGACUGGGAGAUGCAGAUUGCUGCCGUUUUCCAGCAUUACAAGAGUAUCGCACUGCAUAUCACUUGCCUGGGGAAAAAGAAAAAAAAUCUAAAUUCAAAGUAUGGUUUCUACUGAACUUCUAUUGCCAGCUCACCAUCGUAAAGUCAAAAAAUCGUAAAUUGGACCAUUGUAAGUCAAGGAGCAUCUGUACGCAGACAUGCAGUUUCUGUUUCUUGGCUGUUAAUUAGGUCCAUUUGCCUUUCUAUUUUGGAAUUCAGUUGACAAAUGUUGCAUAAUUAUUUUAAAGGGCCUUUCUGUCCUCAACUGGCUCAAGAUUCAUCUUUGUGAUUAAAAGCUAUUUCUAGCAAUAGCUGGCUUUUUUUGGGUAGACAACAGUACGGGUUGUUGAAAUGCCUCAGUUCAGUUGGUGUUCUAUGCCAGUAGGGGACCCAAAAAAUAGCACAGAGUGAGCAAUGAUUGUAUUACAUCAAUAAUCAGGUACUGUGUGCCAACCCUGAGGAACCUCAAGUUCAUAACUACAAACAGCUCUUGGGCUGCUAUACUGUUAACUGUAUCAGGGAACGGCUCAUUUUUCACAAGAGACUUUUAUGCUUCAAAGUGCAAUUUUUUUUUAAAGACUACUGAAUGUGACACCUGUCAUUUCUCAUUGAAGAACCGACUGUACAACAUAACAGGUUACUUCAUUUGCAUUAUCUGAGGGCUGACCUGUAAUGUGAGAAUGCAGCUGUGAUGUACUAGUAAAUUAGUAAACCAGUUCUUUGUCUUUGAGUAUUGAAAUGUUAGUGAAAUACAGGCCGUGUGAAUGGAAAGGUUCCCAGCGAACAUUGUUGUAGUAUUUUCACUAUUGCACAGCACUAUGCAGUCUCCCACAUAGAAGUUUAACUCUGAUAGUAGCUAACAGGACAUUUUGUACUGGGAUUACAGUGCUGGUAAUUGUGUCUCAGCUGAAUCAAAUUAAUUUUAUGAUCUGCUAUCCCUUAAAACACAAAUAUGAAAUAUAUUUAAAAAGUUAUACUCUAGAUUUGGAUAUAGAAAAGAAUAGUCUAUUUUAUAAUAAAACCAUAAACUUUAUAUUCA
RNAcentral lists this long non-coding RNA (4526 nucleotides) under Scleropages formosus (Asian bonytongue). RNAcentral's name for it is "lncRNA (ENSSFOG00015006719.2)". The record is from RNAcentral. Lineage: Eukaryota; Metazoa; Chordata; Actinopteri; Osteoglossiformes; Osteoglossidae.